UUAAAUACAGUGACAGGGAAGAGUACAAUUGCAGACCCCUUUAGAGAGGGAAACCAUCAGCUGAAAGGUUUCUCAGGAACGUCGGAUUGGAAGGUCGCCCUUGAGUAGUUUCAGCGAACGCACUGCGUCUAGUAGUUGAAACCGGUGGAGAGCCGUUAACAGGUUUGAGUGUACAGGGGAUAGUCUAUCUAUUUAUACCCUGUAAAAAAAGGUGGUACCGCGAAACUUAACUCCUUUCGUCCUUUUA
This 247-nucleotide non-coding RNA is filed under the name Bacillus sp. (in: firmicutes). RNAcentral's name for it is "Bacillus sp. T-box sequence". It matches the Rfam family "T-box leader". From Rfam's summary of the family: Uncharged tRNA acts as the effector for transcription antitermination of genes in the T-box leader family. T-boxes are found upstream of many aminoacyl-tRNA synthetase genes and some amino acid biosynthetic genes usually in Gram-positive bacteria. The record is from RNAcentral. Lineage: Bacteria; Bacillati; Bacillota; Bacilli; Caryophanales; Bacillaceae.